RNAcentral lists this transfer RNA (74 nucleotides) under bacterium. Its description in RNAcentral is "tRNA-His". It matches the Rfam family "tRNA". From Rfam's summary of the family: Transfer RNA (tRNA) molecules are approximately 80 nucleotides in length. Their secondary structure includes four short double-helical elements and three loops (D, anti-codon, and T loops). Further hydrogen bonds mediate the characteristic L-shaped molecular structure. tRNAs have two regions of fundamental functional importance: the anti-codon, which is responsible for specific mRNA codon recognition, and the 3' end, to which the tRNAs corresponding amino acid is attached (by aminoacyl-tRNA synthetases). tRNAs cope with the degeneracy of the genetic code in two manners: having more than one tRNA (with a specific anti-codon) for a particular amino acid; and 'wobble' base-pairing, i.e. permitting non-standard base-pairing at the 3rd anti-codon position. RNAcentral also lists the same sequence under 5 other names. The record is from RNAcentral.
GUGGCUGUAGCUCAGUUGGUUAGAGCACCUGGUUGUGGUCCAGGGGGUCGGGGGUUCGAAUCCCCUCAGCCACC